RNAcentral lists this ribosomal RNA (492 nucleotides) under uncultured bacterium. RNAcentral's name for it is "partial 16S ribosomal RNA". It matches the Rfam family "Bacterial small subunit ribosomal RNA", at positions 31 to 507 of the family's 1533-position model. The record is from RNAcentral.
AGAGAACGCUGGCGGUAGGCCUAACACAUGCAAGUCGAACGGCAGCACAGUAAGAGCUUGCUCUUACGGGUGGCGAGUGGCGGACGGGUGAGGAAUACAUCGGAAUCUACUUUUUCGUGGGGGAUAACGUAGGGAAACUUACGCUAAUACCGCAUACGACCUACGGGUGAAAGCAGGGGAUCUUCGGACCUUGCGCGAUUGAAUGAGCCGAUGUCGGAUUAGCUAGUUGGCGGGGUAAAGGCCCACCAAGGCGACGAUCCGUAGCUGGUCUGAGAGGAUGAUCAGCCACACUGGAACUGAGACACGGUCCAGACUCCUACGGGAGGCAGCAGUGGGGAAUAUUGGACAAUGGGCGCAAGCCUGAUCCAGCCAUACCGCGUGGGUGAAGAAGGCCUUCGGGUUGUAAAGCCCUUUUGUUGGGAGAGAAAAGCAGCAGGUUAAUACCCCGCUGUUCUGACGGUACCCAAAGAAUAAGCACCGGCUAACUUCGUG